Molecule: transfer RNA, 67 nt
Filed under: Timema californicum (California timema)
Lineage: Eukaryota; Metazoa; Arthropoda; Insecta; Phasmatodea; Timematidae
Description: tRNA-Ser
Source: RNAcentral
GAAGAUCGGAGAUCAAAUUAGAGCUGCUAACUCUUUAUUUUAAUAGUUAAAAUCUAUUAGUUCUUCU